This 253-nucleotide ribosomal RNA is filed under the name uncultured bacterium. Its description in RNAcentral is "partial 16S ribosomal RNA". It matches the Rfam family "Bacterial small subunit ribosomal RNA", at positions 524 to 776 of the family's 1533-position model. The record is from RNAcentral.
UACAGAGGUGGCAAGCGUUGUUCGGAAUUACUGGGCGUAAAGGGCGCGUAGGCGGCCUUGUAAGUCCUGUGUGAAAUCCCCCGGCUCAACUGGGGAACUGCACAGGAGACUGCUUGGCUUGAGUUCGGGAGAGGGAAGCGGAAUUCCGGGUGUAGCGGUGAAAUGCGUAGAUAUCCGGAGGAACACCGGUGGCGAAGGCGGCUUCCUGGACCGACACUGACGCUGAGGCGCGAAAGCUAGGGGAGCAAACGGG